ACUUAAAUUGAAGAGUUUGAUCAUGGCUCAGAUUGAACGCUGGCGGCAGGCCUAACACAUGCAAGUCGAGCGGUAGCACAGAGAGCUUGCUCUCGGGUGACGAGCGGCGGACGGGUGAGUAAUGUCUGGGAAACUGCCUGAUGGAGGGGGAUAACUACUGGAAACGGUAGCUAAUACCGCAUAACGUCGCAAGACCAAAGUGGGGGACCUUCGGGCCUCAUGCCAUCAGAUGUGCCCAGAUGGGAUUAGCUGGUAGGUGGGGUAACGGCUCACCUAGGCGACGAUCCCUAGCUGGUCUGAGAGGAUGACCAGCCACACUGGAACUGAGACACGGUCCAGACUCCUACGGGAGGCAGCAGUGGGGAAUAUUGCACAAUGGGCGCAAGCCUGAUGCAGCCAUGCCGCGUGUGUGAAGAAGGCCUUCGGGUUGUAAAGCACUUUCAGCGGGGAGGAAGGCGAUAAGGUUAAUAACCUUGUCGAUUGACGUUACCCGCAGAAGAAGCACCGGCUAACUCCGUGCCAGCAGCCGCGGUAAUACGGAGGGUGCAAGCGUUAAUCGGAAUUACUGGGCGUAAAGCGCACGCAGGCGGUCUGUCAAGUCGGAUGUGAAAUCCCCGGGCUCAACCUGGGAACUGCAUUCGAAACUGGCAGGCUAGAGUCUUGUAGAGGGGGGUAGAAUUCCAGGUGUAGCGGUGAAAUGCGUAGAGAUCUGGAGGAAUACCGGUGGCGAAGGCGGCCCCCUGGACAAAGACUGACGCUCAGGUGCGAAAGCGUGGGGAGCAAACAGGAUUAGAUACCCUGGUAGUCCACGCUGUAAACGAUGUCGAUUUGGAGGUUGUGCCCUUGAGGCGUGGCUUCCGGAGCUAACGCGUUAAAUCGACCGCCUGGGGAGUACGGCCGCAAGGUUAAAACUCAAAUGAAUUGACGGGGGCCCGCACAAGCGGUGGAGCAUGUGGUUUAAUUCGAUGCAACGCGAAGAACCUUACCUGGUCUUGACAUCCACAGAACUUAGCAGAGAUGCUUUGGUGCCUUCGGGAACUGUGAGACAGGUGCUGCAUGGCUGUCGUCAGCUCGUGUUGUGAAAUGUUGGGUUAAGUCCCGCAACGAGCGCAACCCUUAUCCUUUGUUGCCAGCGGUUCGGCCGGGAACUCAAAGGAGACUGCCAGUGAUAAACUGGAGGAAGGUGGGGAUGACGUCAAGUCAUCAUGGCCCUUACGACCAGGGCUACACACGUGCUACAAUGGCAUAUACAAAGAGAAGCGACCUCGCGAGAGCAAGCGGACCUCAUAAAGUAUGUCGUAGUCCGGAUUGGAGUCUGCAACUCGACUCCAUGAAGUCGGAAUCGCUAGUAAUCGUAGAUCAGAAUGCUACGGUGAAUACGUUCCCGGGCCUUGUACACACCGCCCGUCACACCAUGGGAGUGGGUUGCAAAAGAAGUAGGUAGCUUAACCUUCGGGAGGGCGCUUACCACUUUGUGAUUCAUGACUGGGGUGAAGUCGUAACAAGGUAACCGUAGGGGAACCUGCGGUUGGAUCACCUCCUUACCUUAAAGAA
This 1554-nucleotide ribosomal RNA is filed under the name Klebsiella variicola. RNAcentral describes it as "bacterial SSU rRNA". It matches the Rfam family "Bacterial small subunit ribosomal RNA". Lineage: Bacteria; Pseudomonadati; Pseudomonadota; Gammaproteobacteria; Enterobacterales; Enterobacteriaceae. The record is from RNAcentral.